GGGAAUAUUGCGCAAUGGGCGAAAGCCUGACGCAGCGACGCCGCGUGGGGGAGGAAGGCCCCAGGGUUGUAAACCCCUGUCAGGUGGGACGAACCCCGGUACGUCGAACAGGCGUACCGACUGACGGUACCACCAGAGGAAGCUCCGGCUAACUCCGUGCCAGCAGCCGCGGUAAUACGGAGGGAGCAAGCGUUGUUCGGAUUUACUGGGCGUAAAGAGCGCGUAGGCGGUUGGGAAAGCCUCUUGGGAAAUCUCCCGGCUUAACCGGGAAAGGUCGAGAGGAACUAUUCAGCUAGAGGACGGGAGAGGAGCGCGGAAUUCCCGGUGUAGCGGUGAAAUGCGUAGAUAUCGGGAAGAAGGCCGGUGGCGAAGGCGGCGCUCUGGAACGUACCUGACGCUGAGGUGCGAAAGCGUGGGGAGCAAA
RNAcentral lists this ribosomal RNA (424 nucleotides) under uncultured bacterium. RNAcentral describes it as "bacterial SSU rRNA". It matches the Rfam family "Bacterial small subunit ribosomal RNA", at positions 357 to 772 of the family's 1533-position model. The record is from RNAcentral.